This is a long non-coding RNA of Bombus pascuorum, 913 nucleotides long. RefSeq lists it as uncharacterized. The record is from RefSeq and is a predicted model, not a curated record. Lineage: Eukaryota; Metazoa; Arthropoda; Insecta; Hymenoptera; Apidae. The transcript is spliced from 2 exons.
UCCUAAAUCAGUAGCGCCGUUUACCGGUUAAUCGUGUAGAGUCAAUUCAUUGAGGAACACGAUAGUUUAUUUGAUUCAAACACCUGAAUACAUUCGAUUAGAUGUAUAAUUAUGUCAUCGGCACUGAACAGAUCUGAAUUUAUACGCUCACAAGGCUCCUUACACCCUGAACUUAGUCGCGUGUACAUAUACACAUGCCAAAGAGGGAUUCGAUACGUUUGCAUAAAUCGACAUCAUUUUAACACGUUGUUAAACUACUUAUACUGCAGAGAUCUCGCGAGAUAAUACAGGAGCUAGGAUACUGCUCUCUAUCGCUCACCAUCACGCCAUGCUAUUGUUUUGUUUGUAUAUGACAAUUUUGACGAAUUCUUUCCAUCCUCGUAUUGUACAUGAAACACCAAUGAUCCACGCGAAACCUUUUGUUCGAGUCGUAUGAUAUUUUAGUUAUAAAAAGAAACCAGAUUGUGAAAUACUUACUGAUAUCAUCUGUCGGUACACAAUUAUGGCGUCUGUUUGUACCUCGUCGGUAUAUGCACAUCACAAAUUCUUGAAAUUUGCCCGACUCUACGUUGCAUCGUGAACAAUAAUGGUCAGAGUACGCAGUCACUUAUUGCGAUUGCAAUAAAAGGAAGUGAAACAUGUUUUGUUUUAAAAUACAAUUGAAAGUGAGCGUAUAAUAAAUGGAAUUAUACAAUAAUUAAUUCUAUUACGUUUUUUGAACUAUUUCUCGCCAAAUCGUGUUUGCUAGCGUUAAAAAGUUCGUAAUUAAUACAUAUUUUAUUACAAUUUUAUGUUAAAAUCUUUUUUAAAUACAGGAGCGAUAUUUGCUGGAAUUGUUUACUGGAAAUAAAAUGAGAUAUUGUUCGUUUCUAACUAUCUGCUGAAAAUAAAAUGAGAUGUUGUUCGUUUUUAA